CAUGGAGAGCCUCUGCCCACAACUCUGCGGGAAGAGCUCCCUGUACAAUUACCCUCAGUUCCAACCCCUGACCCCGACGUCCCCCAGAAUGUUUCAUCCCGCCCCCCAUGUUCUCUCUCUGGUACAUAUUCACUAUUAUAGUAGCUUUCCAUGUCCUGUAUGCGGUCUAUUAUUUAUUUUAAAUAAAAUGACUUGUUUUCA
Molecule: long non-coding RNA, 201 nt
Organism: Lutra lutra (Eurasian river otter)
Lineage: Eukaryota; Metazoa; Chordata; Mammalia; Carnivora; Mustelidae
Exons: 3
Source: RefSeq, a predicted model, not a curated record